This 396-nucleotide ribosomal RNA is filed under the name uncultured Paraprevotella sp. Its description in RNAcentral is "bacterial SSU rRNA". It matches the Rfam family "Bacterial small subunit ribosomal RNA", at positions 355 to 749 of the family's 1533-position model. The record is from RNAcentral. Lineage: Bacteria; Pseudomonadati; Bacteroidota; Bacteroidia; Bacteroidales; Prevotellaceae.
UGAGGAAUAUUGGUCAAUGGGCGAGAGCCUGAACCAGCCAAGUAGCGUGCGGGACGACGGCCCUAUGGGUUGUAAACCGCUUUUGAUUGGGAACAAAGAGCGCCACGUGUGGUGCGUUGCGUGUACCUUUCGAAUAAGCAUCGGCUAAUUCCGUGCCAGCAGCCGCGGUAAUACGGAAGAUGCGAGCGUUAUCCGGAUUUAUUGGGUUUAAAGGGAGCGUAGGCGGGCUGUUAAGUCAGCGGUCAAAUGUCAGGGCCCAACCUUGGCAUGCCGUUGAUACUGGUGGCCUUGAGUUCACACAAGGAAGGUGGAAUUCGUCGUGUAGCGGUGAAAUGCUUAGAUAUGACGAAGAACUCCGAUUGCGAAGGCAGCCUUCUGGGGUGUUACUGACGCUGA